Corylus avellana is the source of this 674-nucleotide non-coding RNA. NCBI's taxonomy places the organism in Eukaryota, Viridiplantae, Streptophyta, Magnoliopsida, Fagales, Betulaceae. The record is from RefSeq and is a predicted model, not a curated record.
GAAAUACUUUAUGAUCAGUAGAACACUUGCAGAAUUGAAAGGAUUUUGUGUCAAGAGGGUCGGACAUUUUUUCCCAGAAAAUGAUGAGAAAGAAAGUUCCUGAUCAAGAAGAUCUACAGGACAAGGGCUGAGCUUUAAUAGCUCUCUGUCUUCUCUGCUAAUGGAAAGCUCCACCACUACGACAGCUCAAGAGGAUCUCUAUAUCCACCAGGCACAAAAGCACACGAUAAUUGGUACUUUUCUCCUAUUACCUUUCUCAAUUGCCAUAAAAAUAUCUUCCCAUGAAAAGUGUUAAAUUGCCUUAACAUAUGUGGGGAAGGUGCAUCAUUUCCUGCAUGGUUGAUGAUUGAAGUGAACAAUGCCUAGCUCCAAUGAUACUCACAUUCUAAAGGCCCAUCUCCGCAAUCUUCGACCGCCAUCAACUCUAGUCACCACCGCCGGCCGCCACUAACUUCAAUGAGUUUCUAGCCUGAACAAAUUCAAACUCAAGAUUCCACAAAUCUCUACCUUAAGUUUGAGGAGGGAUGUUAUAAUAUAUUGUGGAAGUUACAAGAAUUUAUUUUAAAUGUGGGAGUUACCUAAAAUUUAUUCUACAUGGGAGGGUUACUUAGCAUUUAUAAUGUAAUUGAGAGUUAUAUGUGUGAGAUUAAUAUUGGAAGUUAGAAGGAUCCUUU